RNAcentral lists this ribosomal RNA (440 nucleotides) under uncultured bacterium. Its description in RNAcentral is "partial 16S ribosomal RNA". It matches the Rfam family "Bacterial small subunit ribosomal RNA", at positions 338 to 795 of the family's 1533-position model. The record is from RNAcentral.
CCUACGGGAGGCAGCAGUAGGGAAUAUUUCUCAAUGGGGGAAACCCUGAAGCAGCAACGCCGCGUGGAGGAUGAAGGUUUUCGGAUUGUAAACUCCUUUUGUUAGAGAAGAAAAUGACGGUAUCUAACGAAUAAGCACCGGCUAACUCCGGGCCAGCAGCCGCGGUAAUACGGAGGCUGCAAGCGUUACUCGGAAUCACUGGGCGUAAAGAGUGCGUAGGCGGGGUAGCAAGUCAGAUGUGAAAGCCAAUGGCUCAACCAGAGAACUGCAUUUGAUACUGUUAGUCUAGAGUAUGGGAGAGGGAGGUGGAAUUCUUGGUGUAGGGGUAAAAUGCGUAGAGAUCGAGAGGAACACUCAUGGCGAAGGCGAGCUGCUAGAACAUAACUGACGCUGAUGCGCGAAGGCGUGGGGAGCGAACGGGAUUAGAUACCCGAGUAGUC